UGGGGAAUUUUGGACAAUGGGGGAAACCCUGAUCCAGCCAUCCCGCGUGUGCGAUGAAGGCCUUCGGGUUGUAAAGCACUUUUGGCAGGAAAGAAACGUCAUGGGUUAAUACCCCGUGAAACUGACGGUACCUGCAGAAUAAGCACCGGCUAACUACGUGCCAGCAGCCGCGGUAAUACGUAGGGUGCAAGCGUUAAUCGGAAUUACUGGGCGUAAAGCGUGCGCAGGCGGUUCGGAAAGAAAGAUGUGAAAUCCCAGAGCUCAACUUUGGAACUGCAUUUUUAACUGCCGGGCUAGAGUGUGUCAGAGGGAGGUGGAAUUCCGCGUGUAGCAGUGAAAUGCGUAGAUAUGCGGAGGAACACCGAUGGCGAAGGCAGCCUCCUGGGAUAACACUGACGCUCAUGCACGAAAGCGUGAGGAGCAAACAGG
Molecule: ribosomal RNA, 429 nt
Filed under: Acidobacteriota bacterium
Lineage: Bacteria; Pseudomonadati; Acidobacteriota
Description: Acidobacteria bacterium partial 16S ribosomal RNA
Rfam family: Bacterial small subunit ribosomal RNA
Source: RNAcentral